This 730-nucleotide ribosomal RNA is filed under the name uncultured bacterium. RNAcentral's name for it is "bacterial SSU rRNA". It matches the Rfam family "Bacterial small subunit ribosomal RNA", at positions 771 to 1501 of the family's 1533-position model. The record is from RNAcentral.
AACAGGAUUAGAUACCCUGGUAGUCCACGCCGUAAACGAUGUCGACUUGGAGGUUGUGCCCUUGGGGCGUGGCUUCCGGAGCUAACGCGUUAAGUCGACCGCCUGGGGAGUACGGCCGCAAGGUUAAAACUCAAAUGAAUUGACGGGGGCCCGCACAAGCGGUGGAGCAUGUGGUUUAAUUCGAUGCAACGCGAAGAACCUUACCUACUCUUGACAUCCAGAGAACUUAGCAGAGAUGCUUUGGUGCCUUCGGGAACUCUGAGACAGGUGCUGCAUGGCUGUCGUCAGCUCGUGUUGUGAAAUGUUGGGUUAAGUCCCGCAACGAGCGCAACCCUUAUCCUUUGUUGCCAGCGGUUAGGCCGGGAACUCAAAGGAGACUGCCAGUGAUAAACUGGAGGAAGGUGGGGAUGACGUCAAGUCAUCAUGGCCCUUACGAGUAGGGCUACACACGUGCUACAAUGGCGCAUACAAAGAGAAGCGACCUCGCGAGAGCAAGCGGACCUCAUAAAGUGCGUCGUAGUCCGGAUUGGAGUCUGCAACUCGACUCCAUGAAGUCGGAAUCGCUAGUAAUCGUGGAUCAGAAUGCCACGGUGAAUACGUUCCCGGGCCUUGUACACACCGCCCGUCACACCAUGGGAGUGGGUUGCAAAAGAAGUAGGUAGCUUAACCUUCGGGAGGGCGCUUACCACUUUGUGAUUCAUGACUGGGGUGAAGUCGUAACAAGGUAACC